CACACACACACUUACAUCACUCUCCCUCUCCCUCUCUCUCCCACCUUUGGAUAUUCCGGCUAACCAUUGUUGUUCACCGCCGUAAACCGCCAACCGCCGGCCUCACUCGCCGGAUACAACUGUCGAUUACCAACACCUCACCAUCUCCAUUCUAUCACAAGCAUAUAACCAGUCAAAGCCACCACUCUUCUCUUAUUGCUGCUGGCGCUGCCCUCCUCCACCGUAGAUGGGUUCAGUCACCGGAAAACAGCCGAUAGUGAAAACCACCUCACUGUCACCACCACGACCCACCUCAUGAGCCGCCGGACCACCACUUCUACCCUGCUGAACCACCAACCGCGAUACCAUCUACCGCAGAUUUUUGAAGAAGCAAUUUUCCAUUGUUGUACAUUUUAUUGUAUCGUACAUUUAGUUUGUUAUUGUAUUAUUGUUUUUUAUGUGUUUGUUAAUAAAUGUAUAUGUGUGUUUUUUACAUAUAUCUAGUUAAUUGGUUGUUUAAUUCAAUGAUAUGUUUGGUUAAUUAUAUUUUAUUUUAUAAUUUGUUGUUACCAAGGA
Molecule: long non-coding RNA, 555 nt
Organism: Erigeron canadensis
Lineage: Eukaryota; Viridiplantae; Streptophyta; Magnoliopsida; Asterales; Asteraceae
Exons: 3
Source: RefSeq, a predicted model, not a curated record